CAGUAGCCGCGGGAAUACGGAGGGUGCGAGCGUUAAUCGGAAUAACUGGGCGUAAAGGGCACGCAGGCGGUGACUUAAGUGAGGUGUGAAAGCCCCGGGCUUAACCUGGGAAUUGCAUUUCAUACUGGGUCGCUAGAGUACUUUAGGGAGGGGUAGAAUUCCACGUGUAGCGGUGAAAUGCGUAGAGAUGUGGAGGAAUACCGAAGGCGAAGGCAGCCCCUUGGGAAUGUACUGACGCUCAUGUGCGAAAGCGUGGGGAGCAAACAGGAUUAGAUACCCCGGUAGUCCCUGUCUCUUAUAA
This 301-nucleotide ribosomal RNA is filed under the name uncultured bacterium. RNAcentral describes it as "partial 16S ribosomal RNA". It matches the Rfam family "Bacterial small subunit ribosomal RNA", at positions 509 to 809 of the family's 1533-position model. The record is from RNAcentral.